RNAcentral lists this ribosomal RNA (469 nucleotides) under uncultured bacterium. RNAcentral describes it as "partial 16S ribosomal RNA". It matches the Rfam family "Bacterial small subunit ribosomal RNA", at positions 28 to 507 of the family's 1533-position model. The record is from RNAcentral.
AACGAACGUUGGCGGCGUGGAUUAGGCAUGCGAGUCGAACGCGAAUCCCUGGGCAACUGGGGAGGAGAGUGGCGAAAGGGGCAGUAAGGCGUGGGUAACCUACCCUCCGGGCCGGGAUAGCUUCGGGAAACUGAAGGUAAUACCGGGCGACGCAGCGAGAUCGCAUGGUCUUGCUGCCAAAGGUCCGCCGCCGGGGGAGGGGCUCACGUGGUAUUAGCUAGACGGCGGGGUAACGGCCCACCGUGGCAAAGAUGCCUAGCAGGUGUGAGAGCACGACCUGCGCCACUGGAACUGAGACACUGGCCAGACACCUACGGGUGGCUGCAGUCGAGGAUCUUCGGCAAUGGGCGCAAGCCUGACCGAGCGACGCCGCGUGUGCGAUGAAGGCCUUCGGGUUGUAAAGCACUGUCGAGGGGGAGGAAGCCGCAAGGUUGACCUAUCCCUGGAGGAAGCACGGGCUAAGUUCGUG